RNAcentral lists this ribosomal RNA (301 nucleotides) under uncultured bacterium. Its description in RNAcentral is "partial 16S ribosomal RNA". It matches the Rfam family "Bacterial small subunit ribosomal RNA", at positions 509 to 808 of the family's 1533-position model. The record is from RNAcentral.
CAGUAGCCGCGGUAAUACGGAGGGGGCAAGCGUUAUCCGGAAUUAUUGGGCGUAAAGGGUACGUAGGUGGCCUUUUAAGCGUAGGGUAUAAGGCAAUGGCUCAACCAUUGUUCGCCCUAUGAACUGGAAGGCUUGAGUGCAGGAGAGGAAAGCGGAAUUCCUAGUGUAGCGGUGGAAUGCAUAGAUAUUAGGAGGAACAUCAGCGGCGAAGGCGGCUUUCUGGACUGCAACUGACACUGAGGUACGAAAGCGUGGGGAGCAAACAGGAUUAGAUACCCGGGUAGUCCCUGUCUCUUAUACA